Molecule: ribosomal RNA, 856 nt
Filed under: Staphylococcus sp.
Lineage: Bacteria; Bacillati; Bacillota; Bacilli; Caryophanales; Staphylococcaceae
Description: bacterial SSU rRNA
Rfam family: Bacterial small subunit ribosomal RNA
Source: RNAcentral
UGCAAGUCGAGCGAACAGAUAAGGAGCUUGCUCCUUUGACGUUAGCGGCGGACGGGUGAGUAACACGUGGGUAACCUACCUAUAAGACUGGAAUAACUCCGGGAAACCGGGGCUAAUGCCGGAUAACAUUUAGAACCGCAUGGUUCUAAAGUGAAAGAUGGUUUUGCUAUCACUUAUAGAUGGACCCGCGCCGUAUUAGCUAGUUGGUAAGGUAACGGCUUACCAAGGCAACGAUACGUAGCCGACCUGAGAGGGUGAUCGGCCACACUGGAACUGAGACACGGUCCAGACUCCUACGGGAGGCAGCAGUAGGGAAUCUUCCGCAAUGGGCGAAAGCCUGACGGAGCAACGCCGCGUGAGUGAUGAAGGUCUUCGGAUCGUAAAACUCUGUUAUUAGGGAAGAACAAAUGUGUAAGUAACUAUGCACGUCUUGACGGUACCUAAUCAGAAAGCCACGGCUAACUACGUGCCAGCAGCCGCGGUAAUACGUAGGUGGCAAGCGUUAUCCGGAAUUAUUGGGCGUAAAGCGCGCGUAGGCGGUUUCUUAAGUCUGAUGUGAAAGCCCACGGCUCAACCGUGGAGGGUCAUUGGAAACUGGGAAACUUGAGUGCAGAAGAGGAAAGUGGAAUUCCAUGUGUAGCGGUGAAAUGCGCAGAGAUAUGGAGGAACACCAGUGGCGAAGGCGACUUUCUGGUCUGUAACUGACGCUGAUGUGCGAAAGCGUGGGGAUCAAACAGGAUUAGAUACCCUGGUAGUCCACGCCGUAAACGAUGAGUGCUAAGUGUUAGGGGGUUUCCGCCCCUUAGUGCUGCAGCUAACGCAUUAAGCACUCCGCCUGGGGAGUACGACCGCAAGG